GGUUAAGUUAACAAGGGCGCAUGGUGAAUGCCUUGGCACUAGGAGCCGAUGAAGGACGGGACUAACACCGAUAUGCUUCGGGGAGCUGUACGUAAGCUAUGAUCCGGAGAUUUCCGAAUGGGGCAACCCAGCAGUUUUAAUCAACUGUUACCACUAGAUGAAUUCAUAGUCUAGUUGGAGGUAAACGCUGUGAACUGAAACAUCUCAUUAGCAGCAGGAAUAUAAAGAAAUUUCGAUUCCCUAAGUAGCGGCGAGCGAACGGGGAACAGCCCAAACCAAAGUGCUUGCACUUUGGGGUUGUAGGACUGAACAUUUGAGUUACCAAAGAACUUGAUAGUCGAAGGAUUUGGGAAAAUCCGCCAUAGAUGGUGAUAGCCCAGUAGAUUAAAUCAAAUUCUCUCAGUUCAGGAUCCUGAGUACGGCGGAACACGUGAAAUUCCGUCGGAAUCCGGGAGGACCAUCUCCCAAGGCUAAAUACUACCUAGUGACCGAUAGUGAACCAGUACCGUGAGGGAAAGGUGAAAAGCACCCCGGGAGGGGAGUGAAAUAGUUCCUGAAACCAUGUGCCUACAAUAAGUCAGAGCGCGUUAAUGCGUGAUGGCGUGCCUUUUGUAGAAUGAACCGGCGAGUUAUGAUCCCGUGCAAGGUUAAGACUAAAAAGUCGGAGCCGUAGCGAAAGCGAGUCUGAAAUGGGCGUUUUGAGUACGAGGUUAUAGACCCGAAACCAGGUGACCUAUCCAUGUCCAGGUUGAAGGUGCGGUAAAACGCACUGGAGGACCGAACCCGUGUAAGUUGAAAAUUGCUGGGAUGAGGUGUGGAUAGCGGUGAAAUUCCAAACGAACUUGGAGAUAGCUGGUUCUCUCCGAAAUAGCUUUAGGGCUAGCCUCGGAAUUAGGAUCAUGGAGGUAGAGCACUAUUUGGACUAGGGGCCCGUCUUGGGUUACUGAAUUCAGAUAAACUCCGAAUGCCAUUGAUUCAUAUCCGGGAGUCAGACGAUGAGUGAUAAGAUCCACCGUCGAAAGGGGAACAGCCCAGACCAUCAGUUAAGGUCCCUAAAUGUAUGCUAAGUGGAAAAGGAUGUGGAGUUGCAUAGACAACUAGGAUGUUGGCUCAGAAGCAGCCACCAUUUAAAGAGUGCGUAAUAGCUCACUAGUCAAGUGAUCCUGCGCCGAAAAUGUACCGGGGCUAAGCAUACUACCGAAACCAUGGAUGCGACCAUUAGGUCGCGUGAUAGGAGAGCGUUCUAAGGGCGGUGAAGCAAGAUCGUGAGGACUUGUGGAGCGCUUAGAAGUGAGAAUGCCGGUAUGAGUAGCGAAAGAUAGGUGAGAAUCCUAUCCACCGAAUGACUAAGGUUUCCUGGGGAAGGCUCGUCCUCCCAGGGUUAGUCGGGACCUAAGUCGAGGCCGAGAGGCGUAGACGAUGGAUAACAGGUUGAGAUUCCUGUACUAGUUAAGUGCGUUUGAGCAAUGGAGGGACGCAGGAGGCUAAGAUGUGCAUUCUGUUGGAUUAGAAUGUCCAAGCAGUAAGUCUUGUGAAGAGUCAAAUGCUUUUCACUUUAAGGACAAGCUGUGAUGGGGAGCGAAAUUUAGUAGCGAAGCGUCUGAUGUCACACUGCCGAGAAAAGCUUCUAGUGAGUACUUAACUACCCGUACCGCAAACCGACACAGGUAGUCGAGGAGAGAAUCCUAAGGUGAGCGAGUGAACUCUCGUUAAGGAACUCGGCAAAAUGACCCCGUAACUUCGGGAGAAGGGGUGCUGAUCGCAAGAUCAGCCGCAGUGAAUAGGCCCAGGCGACUGUUUAUCAAAAACACAGGUCUCUGCAAAAUCGUAAGAUGACGUAUAGGGGCUGACGCCUGCCCGGUGCUGGAAGGUUAAAAGGAUGGGUUAGCUUCGGCGAAGCUCAGAAUUGAAGCCCCAGUAAACGGCGGCCGUAACUAUAACGGUCCUAAGGUAGCGAAAUUCCUUGUCGGGUAAGUUCCGACCCGCACGAAAGGCGUAACGAUCUGGGCACUGUCUCAACGAGAGACUCGGUGAAAUUAUAUUGUCCGUGAAGAUGCGGACUACCCGCGACAGGACGGAAAGACCCCAUGGAGCUUUACUGUAGCUUGAUAUUGAGUGUUUGUACAGCUUGUACAGGAUAGGUAGGAGCCAUAGAAACCGGAACGCUAGUUUCGGUGGAGGCGUUGGUGGGAUACUACCCUCGCUGUAUGACCACUCUAACCCGCACCACUAAUCGUGGUGGGAGACAGUGUCAGGUGGGCAGUUUGACUGGGGCGGUCGCCUCCUAAAAAGUAACGGAGGCGCCCAAAGGUUCCCUCAGAAUGGUUGGAAAUCAUUCGCAGAGUGUAAAGGCACAAGGGAGCUUGACUGCGAGACAGACAGGUCGAGCAGGGACGAAAGUCGGGCUUAGUGAUCCGGUGGUACCGUAUGGAAGGGCCAUCGCUCAACGGAUAAAAGCUACCCUGGGGAUAACAGGCUUAUCUCCCCCAAGAGUCCACAUCGACGGGGAGGUUUGGCACCUCGAUGUCGGCUCAUCGCAUCCUGGGGCUGUAGUCGGUCCCAAGGGUUGGGCUGUUCGCCCAUUAAAGCGGUACGCGAGCUGGGUUCAGAACGUCGUGAGACAGUUCGGUCCCUAUCCGUCGCGGGCGUAGGAAAUUUGAGAGGACCUGUCCUUAGUACGAGAGGACCGGGAUGGACAUACCUCUGGUGUACCAGUUGUGCCGCCAGGCGCAUCGCUGGGUAGCUACGUAUGGAUGUGAUAAACGCUGAAAGCAUCUAAGUGUGAAACACACCUCGAGAUGAGAUUUCCCAUUCCUUUAUGGAAGUAAGACCCCUGAAAGAUGAUCAGGUAGAUAGGUUAGAAGUGGCAGUGCGGUGACGCAUGAAGCGGACUAAUACUAAUCGGUCGAGGACUUAACCAA
This 2921-nucleotide ribosomal RNA is filed under the name Lactiplantibacillus plantarum. RNAcentral describes it as "LSU rRNA". It matches the Rfam family "Bacterial large subunit ribosomal RNA". Lineage: Bacteria; Bacillati; Bacillota; Bacilli; Lactobacillales; Lactobacillaceae. The record is from RNAcentral.